GAUGAACGCUGGCGGCGUGCCUAAUACAUGCAAGUCGAGCGAACGGACGAGAAGCUUGCUUCUCUGAUGUUAGCGGCGGACGGGUGAGUAACACGUGGAUAACCUACCUAUAAGACUGGGAUAACUUCGGGAAACCGGAGCUAAUACCGGAUAAUAUUUUGAACCGCAUGGUUCAAAAGUGAAAGACGGUCUUGCUGUCACUUAUAGAUGGAUCCGCGCUGCAUUAGCUAGUUGGUAAGGUAACGGCUUACCAAGGCAACGAUGCAUAGCCGACCUGAGAGGGUGAUCGGCCACACUGGAACUGAGACACGGUCCAGACUCCUACGGGAGGCAGCAGUAGGGAAUCUUCCGCAAUGGGCGAAAGCCUGACGGAGCAACGCCGCGUGAGUGAUGAAGGUCUUCGGAUCGUAAAACUCUGUUAUUAGGGAAGAACAUAUGUGUAAGUAACUGUGCACAUCUUGACGGUACCUAAUCAGAAAGCCACGGCUAACUACGUGCCAGCAGCCGCGGUAAUACGUAGGUGGCAAGCGUUAUCCGGAAUUAUUGGGCGUAAAGCGCGCGUAGGCGGUUUUUUAAGUCUGAUGUGAAAGCCCACGGCUCAACCGUGGAGGGUCAUUGGAAACUGGAAAACUUGAGUGCAGAAGAGGAAAGUGGAAUUCCAUGUGUAGCGGUGAAAUGCGCAGAGAUAUGGAGGAACACCAGUGGCGAAGGCGACUUUCUGGUCUGUAACUGACGCUGAUGUGCGAAAGCGUGGGGAUCAAACAGGAUUAGAUACCCUGGUAGUCCACGCCGUAAACGAUGAGUGCUAAGUGUUAGGGGGUUUCCGCCCCUUAGUGCUGCAGCUAACGCAUUAAGCACUCCGCCUGGGGAGUACGACCGCAAGGUUGAAACUCAAAGGAAUUGACGGGGACCCGCACAAGCGGUGGAGCAUGUGGUUUAAUUCGAAGCAACGCGAAGAACCUUACCAAAUCUUGACAUCCUUUGACAACUCUAGAGAUAGAGCCUUCCCCUUCGGGGGACAAAGUGACAGGUGGUGCAUGGUUGUCGUCAGCUCGUGUCGUGAGAUGUUGGGUUAAGUCCCACAACGAGCGCAACCCUUAAGCUUAGUUGCCAUCAUUAAGUUGGGCACUCUAAGUUGACUGCCGGUGACAAACCGGAGGAAGGUGGGGAUGACGUCAAAUCAUCAUGCCCCUUAUGAUUUGGGCUACACACGUGCUACAAUGGACAAUACAAAGGGCAGCGAAACCGCGAGGUCAAGCAAAUCCCAUAAAGUUGUUCUCAGUUCGGAUUGUAGUCUGCAACUCGACUACAUGAAGCUGGAAUCGCUAGUAAUCGUAGAUCAACAUGCUACGGUGAAUACGUUCCCGGGUCU
Molecule: ribosomal RNA, 1372 nt
Filed under: uncultured bacterium
Lineage: Bacteria
Description: bacterial SSU rRNA
Rfam family: Bacterial small subunit ribosomal RNA
Source: RNAcentral